This 107-nucleotide microRNA precursor is filed under the name Marmota monax (woodchuck). The record is from RNAcentral. Lineage: Eukaryota; Metazoa; Chordata; Mammalia; Rodentia; Sciuridae.
AGUGGAAUAACUAGGUCAAAUGGUGGUUCUAUUCAUUCCAAGUUUUCUGAGGAAUCUCCAUACUGCUUUCCAGAGUGGUUGCACCAAUUUGCAGUCCCACCAGCAAU